GACAGAGGGGGCAAGCGUUGCUCGGAAUCACUGGGCGUAAAGGGCGCGUAGGCGGGCUGGCAAGUCAGUCGUGAAAUCUCUCGGCUCAACCGAGAAACGUCGGCUGAUACUGCCGUUCUUGAGGGAUGCAGAGGAGACUGGAAUUCCUGGUGUAGCGGUGGAAUGCGCAGAUAUCGGGAGGAACACCGGUGGCGAAGGCGGUUCUCUGGGCCUUACCUGACGCUGAGGAGCGAAAGCGUGGGGAGCGAACAGG
This 253-nucleotide ribosomal RNA is filed under the name uncultured bacterium. RNAcentral describes it as "partial 16S ribosomal RNA". It matches the Rfam family "Bacterial small subunit ribosomal RNA", at positions 524 to 776 of the family's 1533-position model. The record is from RNAcentral.